Non-coding RNA from Peromyscus maniculatus bairdii (prairie deer mouse), 2207 nucleotides. NCBI's taxonomy places the organism in Eukaryota, Metazoa, Chordata, Mammalia, Rodentia, Cricetidae. The record is from RefSeq and is a predicted model, not a curated record.
CCAAGGGGAGCAUGAAAGAGGGAUGUGUGAGGGCGGCUGUGAAGGGGCGUGUGUGAAAGACACAGAGACGGAAGAGACUGUCACCCAGUAUACACGAAGACCAUCUCCAUCCAGCUGGCGGGCUGGGCCAGCUCCCCAGAAGGCAGCCCUGAGUCCUUCCUUUGACGGGGACACCUCUCCCCUCCAGCAACCCUCUCCCCCAUCACUUUCAUUUGCUGGGAAGAAGAAGAAUCCGGUAGCCCCAGAAGAAAAGAAGAACAAGAGCAAAGUAGCGCUCAGUCGGUCUGGCCUUGGGAUGAAGACCAGCUUCAGGACCCUGAGCCCAUCCCCAGGGAUGCCCCUGGCCCCCCAAGCUUGAGCACUGCAGCAUCAGCAUCAGCAGCUGAAGAGGAGCUGUACCACUGAGGCCUCUGGGCCACCCCAGGUUGAGGUGGCCCGGCUAGAAGAACUCACCACGGAGAAGUUGCUGGCGGAGCAGCGGUGCCCACUGAAGUUACAGCUCUUGAGCAUGUCGGCAAGCUGGUGGCCGGUGCGGUUGAGGAUGUCUACCAUGUCAGGCUCUGGGUAACGAAGGCCAGCUGCACGGUGCCCAUCCCGGUCUUUGGGGGGCAGCCCUGUUAGAUUGGCCAGGUGGAAGAUAUCAGCGUCGCUGAGUGCCGAAUGCCGGAAUCGGUUGAUGUUGCAGAGGGUGACAGCCGGGAAGCCCGUCACUGGGGCCGGGGCAGCAGGGUCCACAGCUACCAGGUGAGGCCGGGUCAGGUAGCCCCUGGCCAGGCUGGCUGCCUGGUAGAGGAAGGCAGCCAGUGAGGUUACUUCAGUCUGGGGCUCUGCCAAGAGAGUGGGAGCUGCCCCCCAAUCUCUCCCCAGCACACUCCCUACCGCCCUGACAUCCUGUCUGAAUACCUGGCUAUCUGCUGAGAUCUCAGGGUCAAGCUGUCUCCACCGCACAUUGACCUCCAUCAUGAGCCCAGAUAAUACCCUCUUCCCCUCUUCAGAUUACGAUCAUUACCAGCUCAUCUGGCAACUAAGCUCAGCACCCACAGCUGCGGAAAGGGGGUGCCAAGAGGGGCACUCUGGGGUCACGGGCAAACACGAGAGACGUGGGAAGAGCCAGGCUAUGACCCGCCAGAAGGUAUCAGGCUGUCAAGGGGUAACAAGGCACCUCCUAGACCAGAGACCUCUGCCAGAGGAGUGGGAGAGAGACCCUGGAAGACCCCUGGGUGGGGGCAAAACCCCCAGCUCCCCAAAGCCAGCCUGGGAGCAGAUGGAGCUGGCAAAGCGUUAAACAGGCCAGGGCUGGGUCUUGGCAGGAGCUGAGAGCAGGCUGCUGGGUGUUCAGCCUGGGCCCCAGCCUCCCAGCAAGUGUGCUCACUGAAAUCCUUUCAGCGUUCUCUCAGCAUUCUAGAGAGCCAGGCCCAGGGAGGCAGGCAGGCAGGCAGGCAGGCAGGGCGAAGGUCAGGGGGCCAGCAGGCCAGGGAGCCUGGAGGGCCUUCGUCUAAAGCAGCUAGCGCAGAAGGCCGAGGCAGUGGGAGGGGGAGAUUUACCAAGGCUCUGGAUUCAUUAUUCAUGAAGCAGCAGCAACGACUCCAAUUUAAAUGCUAAUGUGGGGGGGCCUGACUCAGCUGCCCCUCUUGUCCCCGCCACCCCCAGCCCAGGCACAAGCGGAGUCCAAGCUGCCUCCAAGGUUCAUAGGGGUUUAUUUGGGGGUGGAGAGGGUGGCCAGACGUCCCUGGCCACACACGUGGCUCCCUGCAAGGGAAGAUUCCGUCUGGUUUCCUCAGAUCCCGUUCUGGACGGAGCGGGCCAGGCAGGCCGCAGCCCGGAGGAAGACGAGCGGGAGUCCGGGGGGGGGGGGGGUGCGCGUGAGGCAGCACCCUCACAGGAUGAUCUGGUUGGUGAAGCUUCGACUUAGCUCCUUGUGUGGCAGAACAAUCGAGUUCAAGAUGAGCACCUCGGCAGGGAUCCGGACGCGGCAGCCUGAAGCGUGGGCAAGGUCACCAGGAGCAGGUCAUGAGAGGUACUGGGGCAGGGGAGGAGCUGGGGCCAUGGCCAGGCCAUCAAGAGGGAGUCCUCCCUGCUGCCCACCUGUGCCCCCGCCCUGGUCUCAUCCCCCAGUGACUCAUGUGGGCUGGGUACAUGGCAGGAGCUUGGUAAAUGUUUGCUGACAGAAUAACACGUGUGUGUGACAAAACACACACACACACACA